This 484-nucleotide unclassified non-coding RNA is filed under the name Hevea brasiliensis (rubber tree). Lineage: Eukaryota; Viridiplantae; Streptophyta; Magnoliopsida; Malpighiales; Euphorbiaceae. The record is from RNAcentral.
CAUUUGCAUUCAAGCGUCGGAUCAGUCCCAAUAAUAAGUUGAGCUACUGGUACAAUUUUGACUCCAACAACUGGAGUGCUGUGUACAAACACACAUAUGGCAAGGAUUAUAAAUUUAAAGCUGGCUAUGAUUCAGAUGUGCGCCUUGGUUGGGCUUCACUUUGGGUUGGAGAUGAAGGUGGAAAGGCCAAGACUGCCCCGAUGAAGAUGAAAGUCCAAUUUAUGCUACAAAUGCCGCAAGAUGAUAUCAGAUCCUCAGCAUUAAUGUUCCGUGUUAAAAAGAGAUGGGACAUAGGGUAGGUUUGUGCUGAGAGCUGCUCUUUUCUCACACAUUGUGGGUUCGAUAUGAGUAGUUCUGGGUGAUGUUCCAAUGUAAUGCAUAUUGCUACAUAAUGACAACAAAUGGUUUUGAUAAGUUUUUUUUUUUGCCAAUUUAAUCAUGUAUUUAUGAUUUUCAUUUUCCCAAAUAACAAACUUAUCAAAAC